AGAGUUUGAUCCUGGCUCAGAUUGAACGCUGGCGGCGUGCUUAACACAUGCAAGUCGUACGCGAAAGGGACUUCGGUCCCGAGUAAAGUGGCGCACGGGUGAGUAACACGUGGAUAAUCUGCCUCUAUGAUGGGGAUAACAGUUGGAAACGACUGCUAAUACCGAAUACGCUCAUAAUGAACUUUGUGAGGAAAGGUGGCCUCUGCUUGCAAGCUAUCGCAUAGAGAUGAGUCCGCGUCCCAUUAGCUAGGUUGGUGGGGUAACGGCCUACCAAGGCAACGAUGGGUAGCCGAUCUGAGAGGAUGAUCGGCCACACUGGAACUGAAACACGGUCCAGACUCCGUACGGGAGGCA
This 354-nucleotide ribosomal RNA is filed under the name uncultured bacterium. RNAcentral's name for it is "bacterial SSU rRNA". It matches the Rfam family "Bacterial small subunit ribosomal RNA", at positions 8 to 350 of the family's 1533-position model. The record is from RNAcentral.